RNAcentral lists this ribosomal RNA (253 nucleotides) under uncultured bacterium. RNAcentral describes it as "partial 16S ribosomal RNA". It matches the Rfam family "Bacterial small subunit ribosomal RNA", at positions 524 to 776 of the family's 1533-position model. The record is from RNAcentral.
UACGGAGGAUCCAAGCGUUAUCCGGAUUCAUUGGGUUUAAAGGGUGCGUAGGCGGAAGAGUAAGUCAGUGGUGAAAGCCUGCAGCUUAACUGCAGAAUUGCCAUUGAUACUGCUCAUCUUGAGUACAUUUGAUGUGGGCGGAAUGUGUCAUGUAGCGGUGAAAUGCAUAGAUAUGACACAGAACACCGAUUGCGAAGGCAGCUCACAAAACUGUAACUGACGCUGAGGCACGAAAGCGUGGGGAUCGAACAGG